This is a long non-coding RNA of Pseudopipra pipra, 502 nucleotides long. RefSeq lists it as uncharacterized. The record is from RefSeq and is a predicted model, not a curated record. Lineage: Eukaryota; Metazoa; Chordata; Aves; Passeriformes; Pipridae. The transcript is spliced from 3 exons.
GCAUAGGAGAGGGCCCAGUAUAAAAGAGGAAGAAGUAUCACAGGUUUUGAGAGUUUUCAUCAGUGUCAAAGCAGCCCACUUGUUUUGAACAAACGUAAGCCGUCUACUGAGGAUUCUUGUUGGGGUUUGGCAUCUGCAGGAACCGAAGGAGCAUCAUAUGCAGAAGGAAUGUUUUGCUGCGUCAUUGAAGAGUGCCCCAAAGGAGAAGGAAAUAACAACUUCCAGGAACCUGCAAGGCCUUCCUCCUUCAUGCAGCGUGUCUUUACCUGCAGCUAUCGGCCAGCUGCGAGAACGCAUUCACUGUCUCGAAGUUGAGUACGCCAGGCUGAAAGCCACAGUCCAGCAACAAGCCCAAACCAUUGAAACAAUUGAGAAGCUCAGGCAAGCCCAAAAGACAUGCAAGUGUUCCAUCAUUGACAGAGGAGCGAGGCCCAAGCUGCCAUAAGAAAGACAGCCAUCUCUCUGUGGCAGUAACUGUGGUUUAAACAUGCUUCAAAAUGGC